GAAAUUAAACUUGUUUUUGCCAAAGUUGGAUCCUCUUCCACCCACAUACACUGUUGUACAUUACAGUAAUAGAUAAUUAGAGUAAUAAGAGAUAAACACACCCUCUCUCAUCAUACAAACUCAACUGCAACUUGUCAUCAUUGACAAGUUCUCUACAAGAGCUAUUCUUUUAUGAACUAAACUAGACAGUAGACACAUUCAAAGUCACUCAGUAUUGCCUCUAUCAAUCAUAUCAUCAUGGUCCGGAAAACACCUACUACUUUUACCUAUGCAUCACUUUGCUGCUGAGUUUGUUGCUGCUGCUGAGGUUGAGUAUGCGGCCAUGGCAUGAAAGGCAUCGAUGGUCGGGGGUGUUGAGCGGUGGCACCGUACAUGUUUGCUUGAUCUAAUUGCUUCCCCAUGAUCAUCCCUGUAGCACCCACUGGAUGCUGGGAUGGAACAUAGUAAUAAGGAAGAUCAGCUGGGGAACCAACUACGGGAAUGGAACCUUUCGUGAUUCCAAGACCUUCCUCUUUCAGUUCAUCUCUAGGAAUAAUAUCAACCAAGAAAUCGAAGACAUCAGUCCUUGAAAUUGCAGCUGCAAUAUCAUUCUUCUGUAAAGUUCUCCUUUUGUUCUCUUCUGUAUGAAUCCAGGAUCG
Molecule: unclassified non-coding RNA, 638 nt
Filed under: Hevea brasiliensis (rubber tree)
Lineage: Eukaryota; Viridiplantae; Streptophyta; Magnoliopsida; Malpighiales; Euphorbiaceae
Source: RNAcentral